This 289-nucleotide long non-coding RNA is filed under the name Elaeis guineensis (African oil palm). Its description in RNAcentral is "long non-coding RNA (EGUI_LNC016786)". The record is from RNAcentral. Lineage: Eukaryota; Viridiplantae; Streptophyta; Magnoliopsida; Arecales; Arecaceae.
GCCCUUCCACCACAUGUUAGGGGUUGUUGGCCCGACGUCCCUCGCAUUUAAUGAAGGCGGCGUGGCCUUUCCGAGAUGGGUGCGCCGAACCGCCAGAUCAAAAGGGGGCCCGGAUGAUGCCACGUGUCGCCCAUCCGAGAAGUCUCGAUCGGUGCGGCGUCAUCUCGACCGUCGAACAGCCCUAUAUAUAUGGGGCCACUUGUACUCGAAGUUCCAUUUCUGAUGGUUUUGCUGUGGAGACUCUGCCCAAGCGGUCUCUUAGUCGUCGACGGCAGCUGCGCCCACCCCC